Molecule: ribosomal RNA, 510 nt
Filed under: uncultured bacterium
Lineage: Bacteria
Description: partial 16S ribosomal RNA
Rfam family: Bacterial small subunit ribosomal RNA
Source: RNAcentral
GACGAACGCUGGCGGCGUGCUUAACACAUGCAAGUCGAACGAAGAGCGAUGGAAGCUUGCUUCUUUCAAUCUUAGUGGCGAACGGGUGAGUAACGCGUAAUCAACCUGCCCUUCAGAGGGGGACAACAGUUGGAAACGACAGCUAAUACCGCAUACGAUCUAAUCUCGGCAUCGAGGAAAGAUUAAAGGUGGCCUCUAUUUAUAAACUAUCACUGAAGGUGGGUAGUGCGUGUGAUUAGCUAGUUGGAGGGGGAACGGCCCCCCAAGGUGAUGAUCAGUAGGCGGUCUGGAGGGAUGGACGGCCAAAUUGGGACUGGGACACGGCCCCGAAUCCCAAGGGGGGCAGCAGGGGGGAAACUUUCGCAAUGGAGGAAAGGCUGACGGAGCAACGCCGCGUGGGGGAUGACGGCCUUCGGGUUGUAAAGCUCUGUUAGUCGGGACGAAAGGCCUUCUUGCGAACAGUUAGAAGGAUUGACGGUACCGGAAUAGAAAGCCACGGCUAACUACGUG